Molecule: ribosomal RNA, 404 nt
Filed under: Verrucomicrobiota bacterium
Lineage: Bacteria; Pseudomonadati; Verrucomicrobiota
Description: Verrucomicrobia bacterium partial 16S ribosomal RNA
Rfam family: Bacterial small subunit ribosomal RNA
Source: RNAcentral
UGGGGAAUAUUGCACAAUGGAGGGAACUCUGAUGCAGCGACGCCGCGUGAACGAAGAAGGCUUUCGAGUCGUAAAGUUCUUUUAUAUGGGAAGAUAAUGACGGUACCUAACCAGAAAGCCACGGCUAACUACGUGCCAGCAGCCGCGGUAAUACGUAGGUGGCAAGCGUUGUCCGGAAUUAUUGGGCGUAAAGCGCGCGCAGGUGGUUUAGAAAGUCUGAUGUGAAAGCCCACGGCUCAACCGUGGAGGGUCAUUGGAAACUAAUAAACUUGAGUGCAGGAGAGAAAAGUGGAAUUCCUAGUGUAGCGGUGAAAUGCGUAGAGAUUAGGAGGAACACCGGUGGCGAAAGCGGCUUUUUGGCCUGCAACUGACACUGAGGCGCGAAAGCGUGGGGAGCAAACAGG